GAGCAGCCGCCUCCCUCCGACACCGCCACUCGAUGACGGCCUCAUGGACACCAAGCACCGCUGAACCAGAAUUGAGGAGGUUGAUGGUGAAUACUGGACAAGGGAGGGGACGCAAAAGGGGUGAAUAUGCUUCCAUUGUGGAAAGAAGGGACAUUGGAUGGACAAUGGAUCAGAGCCUGGCCGGAGAAAAAAAAAAAAAAAGGGCAAGCCUUUUGCAAGCAUGGUGGCGAUCGAUGGUGGGGGACCCAGUUUGUCUGACCUCUGGCUGAUUCCCGGCGGCCCCAAAGAUAGAGCGGCGCUUGACUGCUGUGUGUUUUUAUGUGCACAUUUCUCCGGCGGAGCAGACUUCAGCGCGAUUAGCGUACAUCAACUCCUGGGCUUCCUGAUUCAUCCAAGCCCUUUCUUCAGUUUGUGGACAAGCGUCAUGGCGACCUUCGCCCAAUGGAGUACUUCCCUUUGUCAACUUGAUCCAGUGGCGGGGACUUCCUGCGUGCCUUUGCGCAGUGGUCGCCUGUAAACAUUCUGUUCUCGUCGCACGUGACUAGAUGGUGUGCUCUCCGCUAACUUUGUACAUUCCUCACUGUGUGUAUUCUAUCUUACAGGAGCAACGCUCCUCUCUCCUGUCUGUCGUUGGCUCCACUACAACACAGUGCUGUUGUUGAUGCUUUACACAUUGUGGCUUCCUCACCAAUCCUUUGACAUUAUUACUUGGCGCGAGCGGCUGCGUUGAUGGCGCUGACGGAGGCCUGCCGCCUAGCAGAAGGGGAAAAAAGCGGCUGGAGCUUGGGUGCAGCCAACACAACCUGGAGCUGAACACGCACAAUACAGUAGACAUGAUCGUGGACUUCAGGAAACGUCCAGAGGAGAAAUAGUGAGUAUAUUGGUAGAAGGAUGAUGAGGAUGGAGCUGCCAGGCAAGAGAGCUUGAGGAAGACCAAAGAGGUUGAUGGAUGUCGUGAGGGAACACAUGAGGGCAGUUGGUGUUCGAGAGGAGGAUGCAGGAGAUAUGGCUUACAUGGAAAAGGAUGACGCGCUGUGGCGACCCCUAAAGGGACAAGCCGAAAGGUUAAGAAGAAUGAGGUGUUGUGUGUGUAUGUACAGACAGGCUUUAAAAAUGUGUAAACUGAAGGCACAGCAGGUUUUCAUACUCAAUUGAUACAGUGUAUGUCUCAAUAUAAGCAAUGUUUUUGAAGAAAUACAUUAUAUGACUGUCACUGUACGUGUAUCUCGUGAUAACCGCAAAUAUCUAUUGCGUUCAGUCAAUAUGUGUUUGCCAAUGCAGUGGAUGUGUGACGCUGUUCUCCUUUCAAGUGAUCAUUUCAAAACAAAUUUUCCUCUAGGAAAUAAUGUAAAGAAAAACAUUCAUUCUAGAUGGAAAUUGAAAGGUAUUUAUCCUUCGAAGUCACCUGAUACGCAUGUACAGUAAUGGUGAAGGUGUUUGAAGAGCGAU
Molecule: long non-coding RNA, 1449 nt
Organism: Phycodurus eques (leafy seadragon)
Lineage: Eukaryota; Metazoa; Chordata; Actinopteri; Syngnathiformes; Syngnathidae
Exons: 3
Source: RefSeq, a predicted model, not a curated record